AGUGAACGCUGGCGGUAGGCCUAACACAUGCAAGUCGAACGGCAGCACAGUAAGAGCUUGCUCUUACGGGUGGCGAGUGGCGGACGGGUGAGGAAUACAUCGGAAUCUACUUUUUCGUGGGGGAUAACGUAGGGAAACUUACGCUAAUACCGCAUACGACCUACGGGUGAAAGCAGGGGAUCUUCGGACCUUGCGCGAUUGAAUGAGCCGAUGUCGGAUUAGUUAGUUGGGGGGGUAAAGGCCCACCAAGGCGACGAUCCGUAGCUGGUCUGAGAGGAUGAUCAGCCACACUGGAACUGAGACACGGUCCAGACUCCUACGGGAGGCAGCAGUGGGGAAUAUUGGACAAUGGGCGCAAGCCUGAUCCAGCCAUACCGCGUGGGUGAAGAAGGCCUUCGGGUUGUAAAGCCCUUUUGUUGGGAAAGAAAAGCAGCAGGUUAAUACCCCGCUGUUCUGACGGUACCCAAAGAAUAAGCACCGGCUAACUUCGUG
Molecule: ribosomal RNA, 492 nt
Filed under: uncultured bacterium
Lineage: Bacteria
Description: partial 16S ribosomal RNA
Rfam family: Bacterial small subunit ribosomal RNA
Source: RNAcentral